Molecule: long non-coding RNA, 6502 nt
Filed under: Sus scrofa (pig)
Lineage: Eukaryota; Metazoa; Chordata; Mammalia; Artiodactyla; Suidae
Description: lncRNA (ENSSSCG00005018339.1)
Source: RNAcentral
UUUUUUUUUUUUUUUUGGCCGCACCUGAGGCAUGCGAAAAUUGCUGGGCCAGGGGUCAAAUCCGAGCCACAGCUGCAGCAAUGCCAGCUCCUUAACCCACCGCGCCGGGCUGGGGAUUGAAGCUGUACCUUCACAGAGACAACACUGAAUCCUUAACCUGCUGUGCCACAGUGGGAGCUCUGGGCAGGGACCACUUUUAUCUUUUCAUCCAGUGCUGAGCAGGGCGCCUAGAGGCAGCAGUGAAUGUUCAUUGAGAAAACGAAUGAAUCACUUUCUGCCAAAAGCUGGCCUCCCUGAGUUUAUAUGCCCCAGUAACCUUUUGUAAAUGAAACCAUUUUACAUAAUUAGUCAUUUCUAUUCUUCCUUUCUACUAAAGUAAUUUUUUAUUUCCACGUAAAUCUUAUUGUGCCCACGGCCCCCCCACCCCGUGUGACCCCUCCCGCCCCCAGUACCCAACAUAGUUCAUCCUUUGCUUUUCUUUUUUGAUUUUGAAGGGGUGUAAAGUACAAGAUAGAAUAUAAUGUGGCUUCCAUCCCAGGGUUAUUCAACUUGACUGGACUCUUUUAGCCUUCUAGAAUGUUGAGAAAGUAAUUAGUGAGUUGGGGGGAAAGCGUUAAAAGAAGUGGCCCUGAGUCUUUGUAUUGGCAAGAAUGUUUCUCCUUGGCGAUGAGGUCUGCAUUGUCACCCUGCGGAAUAAAUCCUUAAGCAAAGCACAAAAACACCAGCGGCCAAACAAUGGCCAGUGGCUCUCCCUUUGGGGUUGCAAUCCCUUGUAUGGCUAAGUUCAGAAAUGGGUUUCCUGUUCAGAUUUUUGACGAGUCAUAUUGUUGAGUGGCAGGCUCACCUUUGAACUCGCUGUGUUUUGGACAUCAAAAGGAAUUCCAUGCUUUCCCAAAGAAGUUUUAUUCAAGGAAUUAGUAAUCUUAAGGCACAGAGGGAAAUUAGCCUCAGACGUGUGCACAUGAUGGAAAAAUGAGUAUCUUUCAUUUGUUCAAUUUAUUUGCAUUAUGGUUGUUUUGGUCUUUGAAAAUGGGGAGGUCAGAUCUGCCUCGUUUUUCAGUAUGUUGCUUUUAAUACCCGUAGAAUUACUUUUCCUGUGCAAAAUUGGAUUUGAUGAAAGUGGGUUUUUUUGGCAUGACCUGACUUUUCCCCUGAUUCUCCAAUAUCUAAUUGUGUUAAUUUUACUCAUGAAAGAUCUUGACUGUGAGGGACAAGGUUUUAGUAACAUUUUUAUAGCACAUGACAACUUUUAUAGGAAAAAUAUGAAUCAGUAAGUGUAUGUGCUUUUACCAUAACUGCUCUCUUCAUGGAAUUUAAAAUCUUAACUCUUUUUGUUUUGGCAGAAAGUUUUUGCAUGUAGUAGUUUCUUAACAUUGAAUUGAGUCUGUUUGGACUAUUUUUGUUUUCCCCACAUCUAAUUUGUAUUUCAUUGUGUCCUUCAAUACACAGAGUUUUGUUUUGUUUUGUUUUGUUUCCUUUUUUUGUGCAUUGGGAGAUGUAUUAUGCUUAGUUUUCCUAUUCUUAAUUUUUUUUAAAAAAAAUCUAAACAUGCCCAUCACUCACAUUUUCCUAUUUAUGAAUGAGUGAUUUAAAUCUUUCCAGUGUAGUUUGAUCUGACAUGUAUUUAACCAGAGGUCACUAUUUGUUCACUUUUUCUUUUCUGGCUGCGCACAUGAUGUGUUGAUGUCCCUGGGCCAGGGAUUGAACCUGCACACAGAUCCUUGACCACUUGGCCACCAGGGAACUCCCUGACUUUAUUGUCUUAUUUAUCAGUCAUGUUUAGAAAACUGGCUUACAUAUUUAUUAGGUAAAAUGCCUUUCAUAAUGACCUUUGGGGCUGUUUUUUUUUUCCCCCCCAAAGCAGUCUUGACCUAGCAAGGCUUAUUUUGAAAAUCUAAAAAUUACAUAUUUAAUCAGGUGCCUCUUGUCCUUAUACAGAUACACAGUAAGUUAUAUAAAGAAGGGGAACUUGUAGAGUCAAAGGGACUUAAAAGAGAUCACACUUUUUGUUUUUAAAAAUGAGCAAGGCUAAAUCAUCCUGUCUGUGGAGGCAUACUUGGGUAAUAAAACUAUAAAGAAAUGCAAAAUAUGAUGACUCUUAAAACUAGUCCAUAAAUAUGUUGCCAGGAGUGUAUAGAAUGAACACUCAAUUUAUGACAGAAGCAUUUUGGUAUUUUUCAGUGUUCUAAUUUUUAAAGAAAAUGCAAAUAAAAUCAGAUUGCAUGCUAUUUAUUGGUACAGAUUUUUUUUUUUUUUUUGGUCUUUUUUAGGGUCUCACCUGCAGCAUAUGGAGGUUCCCAGGCUAGAGGUCUAAUCAGAGCCACAGCAACAUGGGAUCCAAGCUGCAUCUCUGACCUACACCACAGCUCGUGGCAACGCUGGACCCUUAACCCACUGAGCAAGGCCAGGGAUCAAACCCAUGUCCUCAUGGAUUCUAGGUGGGUUCAUUAACCACCAAGCCAUGACAGAAACUCCCAGUACAGAUUUUAAUUGUAGCUAAUGGGACAGUGCUGUGUUCUUAACAAAAAUAUAAGGAAUAUUUUCAGAGGUGUGGACCUUACAGAGAUAACUACGUAGAAAGGUGACUUUAUUUUGUUGAAUCGUGAAAUGAACUUAGGGCUUUAUUUGCUGUUCAUUACUAGCCUCUCUGUUGUUAACUCUGGUUUUAUUGCUUAUAAUUAGGACCUAAGUCUGCUGCUGAAUUCUGCUUGAUUUUGGGAUUUCUUUUGCUUUGUUCAUUCAUUCUCUAAAUAUUGGACAGCCUCACAAUUGCCAUGCCUUGCGCUGGGGCUACAGGGAUUCAACACAAGGGAGCCCUGCUUCUGAGGUUCUCCCAGGACAGAGUUUUGAAUAGUAGGUAAAAAUAAGGAGUACGGAUGCCUUAUUUUGGCUAUGAAAGUGUAUGGAGCCCCCCAGAGAUACCAUUCCUGGGGUAUGCAUUUCGUCCCUCUUUGCUGGGACUCUGCCCACAGUGGUCUCUGUUGAAUCUUCACUAGGGAAGCCUCUUGGCUGGAUCCUGGGGGUUGUGCAGAGUCUGGUGGUGGUGGUGGAAGGCUUGAGAAAGCCUGAAGCUGGAAGCUCACCGCUCAUGGGUGGCCUUUUCCCUGUACAACAGUAUAACCUUGACAUUCCUAGCAUACUACCUUGAAAGACAGUUUUUUGCCUCCGAAGGAAUUUCGGACCUGUUAGGAAUCAUUUGUUUAUAUUCUCUUUCAAGAUAAAAAUCAAAAAUGCACUUUGGGGAAGAAAAAUGAACCUGUUUAACGGCAACAGGUAUUGUUUCUUUCACUGAACGUUCUUUCACUGAAUGUUCUGUCUGGAAACUGAUUUUUCAUCUCCCUUCCCUGCUCUCUAGUUUCUAAAAGGGGGACAGUCGGAACAUCGCUUUCUAGACAUUUAAAUAAAAACAAUCCCCAGCGUGAACUCUAUAUCAGGUCUUUAAUUAUUUUUAUUAUGAUGCUGAUGCUCUUUUUAUUUUCUUAAUAAUUGUUGACCUCCUGCCUAUAUCAGGUCAAACAGAAAUUACUGUACAAUUUCCAUUUGGUUGCACAAUGUCGUAAUCCAGUUACAAAAUGAAAGUAAUUUCAGUAAAUAAUUGAUUUUUCUCAAAGAGAGUCGUCUCUAGCUCCUAAAAAUUCCAUCGAACCUUCAUUCAUCAGAUGCUUCCGUAUAACAGGAGCUCACGUUUCCCGAGCACUUCCUCUAUGACAAACAUUAGGCCUCCUGGGAAAUCUACAAGGCACCCAAACUGCUCGUGAGAGUGAGCCACAUAGCUCUUGGCCUCCAAGAGCUCAAAGAUGGAGAAUAUUUUGUGGGGAGAGAGGCCAAGACAGACACAUUCGCAGGAGGAAUAAUUACUGCGUGGUGAUGGAAGUGCCUAGACUUUGAACAGAGAGGGACGCAUGGAAAGCUUUUUUCAUGUUUACGUUUAUUGUUAAAAUUCAUCCAAAGCAGCUAGUCAUCCCUACCUUGUCUGGAAUGAAAGUCCCAAGUGACUACAGUGGGACAGUGUUUAGAAUUCUAGGACUAACAGUGUUUCCUUUCCCUGCUGGAACGGGAAUGUAAAGCCGACAGUGAAAUCAGUUCUUCAAAAGAGGAUAGGAUGGAUACCUGGCAUUUCUAUUUAAGAGCAGCCAAGUCGUCUGUGUUUAGGGGACUUGGGGAUCCUCCUAAUUCCCGUGUUAUUGACUGGUGACUUUUGUACCAGGAUCUUUGGGGAUCAUUUUAUGUAUUGUUUCAGCAAUAUGCUUUUCUAGCCCAUGAAGGAUGCUAGUGGGGCUCUAUAAACCUAUCCUCAACCGAAAGCAUAACCUUGGCUGUAUUUAUUUUCUCUUUUCAGUAUACAAAGUGUAAAAGAACACAGAAAAAUUACCCCCUACAGUACAAAUAACAAUUUCUUCUUCCAAAGGUACUUCUUUGUUUAAAUAAGGAGAAACUUGGGUCCUUAGUAACAUUAUUUAGUAUCCAACGCCCCCUCAUUACAAACAUUUCCAUGCCUCCUGGUGUACUCCUGGGGCUUCCUUAAAAUGCAUGAAUUGGGAUCUCUUCCUUUUGCAUGGCCAAAGUGUGCUAGUGGAGACACAACACUGCUGAGGUUCCUAAAAGUACAGAUGCUUGGGUCCAGUCAAGUCUUGAUACCGGUUAGAAUGCCGUGGCUCUGUCCUUUGUAAGAUGCAAACACUGCACAGCCUGGUCUCUCAGUGCCCAAGAGAGACUUUGGCUGCUUUCUGAAGAUUCUCUUGCAGAUGCAACUGGAAAGAUGUCGCAGCUAAAAGAGAUGAUUGGCUUUCCAUUUUCUUGGUCGAGAUAAAUCCGUUUCAAGAAUUCAGACCUCAGGUUAAGCAUGGCUUAAAACAGUGGCUUGUGUCAAAUUAUUAUUAUUAUUAUUUGGCUUUUUAGGGCUGCAUGUGAGGCAUACAGAGGUUCCCAGGCUAGGGGUUGAAUCAGAGCUGUAGCUGCUGGUCUACACCACGGCCACAGCAAUAUGGGAUCUGAGCCACAUCUUUGACCUACACCGCAGCUCCCGGCAACGGCAGAUUGUUAACCCACCGAGGGAAGAGAAAAAAAUGUCCUUUAGGAGUGUGGGGUAAUGGAAACCCCAUAUCCCUAUGGUGUUUUAUUAUAGUCAGUGGAAAUGAAUGGAUGGUAUCCACACCUAGGGGAAUGGAUCUAAAUAAAACCAUAGCCCGCCCCCCUCUCCCUGAGAAUCCCAACCUCCUGUGGUCCAGAUUUUCAGAUUCCUCCCAAUUUGCCCCAGAGCGUGCUGUGACCCUCAUCCAUCUUUUUUGCAUUUAACAAAGUUGUAAAGGGAUUUAUAUGCUUUCCAUUAGUCUUAGCAAAGCUGCUGUCAUGAAUAUUUAAUAGCAAGCACAGUUUGUUUUCUUUUUCUUUCUUUCCCAGUCCCUCCUCCCCCAUCUCCCUUGGCUCGCCUUUUGCCAACUAGGAGCAAUGUAAAUAUCACAGCCCCACACCCCUGGCCAGGUCCCAGUGUGGCCCUGGGCUCUCUCAAGUCAAAAUCUUGGCGCUGCAAGGCAAGGGCUAGCUUUUUUGUUUGUUUUUUUGUUUUUUCCUUUUUAUGCAUCUUUUUCCCUUCCUCGUUCUCUUUCAAUCUCCCCUCCCCUCUGGAACUGAGGUCCGAUUCUAGGGGGCUCCUUGUUGCUUGGGGACCAGUGCGUGCGGGGCUCUGCCUCCGUCGGAUGUCCUGAGCCCUCUUCUCAAGCUGCAGCCCAGCUGCACCCCUCCCCCACCCCCAGUCGCCUUGGACGGUCUUUUCCUUUGAACUUCACUGAGGCACAAUAGCUACCCUGCAACUUUGCUGGGGCUCCCUCGGAUGCAUUCCUGACACUUGCACGGGUCGCUGGUCCCUUUCUCUUUGCAACAGCAAAAAGGAUGAAUGUCUGGGACAGAAAAUGACUUUUGAAGAUGCUAAAAGAUUUACUGGGUCCGGAGCAACCUCUGAACUUUGUGGUGAUUGUCUCAGAAAAAUGCACUUUUCCUAUUGGUGGCUUAGAUCAUCUCCCUUCCUUCUUCCCUCCUUCCCUUCCUCCCCUCAUCCCAGCAUUUAUUUAGGAAAUUUCCCCAUUUCGUUCUCACUGGGUGCCCCCCUCCAUCCCUUUCCCUUUUUCUUUCAUGCUUUGUCUCCUCCUGGCUCAUGGAGUAAGAGGCCCAUAAAGGUGAGGAUGGGAGGGAAAUGAUGGGUUAAAUCCUUCUCUGCAGAGAAGGAUGAGGGCAGCAGUGAAGCCCCAGUAGCUGGAGUGCCCCGGCCCCCAGUCAAACCUGCCUGAAUGGUUGAUCUACAGGUACCUGCCCUAAAGGAUUGUUUGCAAGAUUAGAGGAAGACAUCCAUACAAAAUGUUUGACAUAGUAUUUGACUAUAGUAAUGGCUCAAUAAAUAUCAGCUAUAUGUUAUAAUGAAUAUUAUUGUACACAUUUCCUCAUUUUUCUGAAAUCCCUCCUUGUGGUCUCAAAAAUUCUUGUGGGUUGUAUAUCUUUCCCAUAUAAU